This 677-nucleotide ribosomal RNA is filed under the name Percina fulvitaenia (Ozark logperch). RNAcentral's name for it is "partial small subunit ribosomal RNA". It matches the Rfam family "Bacterial small subunit ribosomal RNA", at positions 540 to 1533 of the family's 1533-position model. Lineage: Eukaryota; Metazoa; Chordata; Actinopteri; Perciformes; Percidae. The record is from RNAcentral.
CCAAGUUGAUAUUACCGGGCGUAAAGCGUGGUUAAGAUUUUUAUAGAACUAAAGCCGAACCCCUUCAGAGCUGUUAUACGCACCCGAAGGUAAGAAGUUCAACCACGAAAGUGGCUUUACAGCCCCGAACCCACGAAAGCUAAGAUACAAACUGGGAUUAGAUACCCCACUAUGCCUAGCCGUAAACAUUGGUAGUAUGUUACAUCCACUACCCGCCCGGGUACUACGAGCAUCAGCUUGAAACCCAAAGGACUUGGCGGUGCUUUAGACCCACCUAGAGGAGCCUGUUCUAGAACCGAUAACCCCCGUUCAACCUCACCUUCCCUUGUCUUCCCCGCCUAUAUACCGCCGUCGUCAGCUUACCCUGUGAAGGUUAAAUAGUAAGCAAAAUUGGUAAAACCUAAAACGUCAGGUCGAGGUGUAGCGUAUGGGGAGGGAAGAAAUGGGCUACAUUUCCUGCCACAGGAAAUACGAAUGGUGUGCUGAAACGCACAUCUGAAGGAGGAUUUAGCAGUAAGCAGGAAAUAGAGCGUUCCGCUGAAAUUGGCCCUGAAGCGCGCACACACCGCCCGUCACUCUCCCCAAGCCUAUAAACCUAAGUAACUAAAACCUUACAAUCGCGAAGGGGAGGCAAGUCGUAACAUGGUAAGUGUACCGGAAGGUGCACUUGGAAAAAU